UACGUAGGGCGCAAGCGUUAUCCGGAAUUAUUGGGCGUAAAGAGCUCGUAGGCGGUUUGUCGCGUCUGCCGUGAAAGUCCGGGGCUCAACUCCGGAUCUGCGGUGGGUACGGGCAGACUAGAGUGAUGUAGGGGAGACUGGAAUUCCUGGUGUAGCGGUGAAAUGCGCAGAUAUCAGGAGGAACACCGAUGGCGAAGGCAGGUCUCUGGGCAUUAGCUGACGCUGAGGAGCGAAAGCAUGGGGGAGCGAACAGG
RNAcentral lists this ribosomal RNA (254 nucleotides) under uncultured bacterium. RNAcentral's name for it is "partial 16S ribosomal RNA". It matches the Rfam family "Bacterial small subunit ribosomal RNA", at positions 524 to 776 of the family's 1533-position model. The record is from RNAcentral.